Molecule: long non-coding RNA, 369 nt
Organism: Xenia sp. Carnegie-2017
Lineage: Eukaryota; Metazoa; Cnidaria; Anthozoa; Malacalcyonacea; Xeniidae
Exons: 3
Source: RefSeq, a predicted model, not a curated record
GUUUCUCUUAACGUCUACGCGUUUGGAAUUCCUUCAUAUAAGGCGUCUGUUGGCAAAGAUGAAUUACCAAAGUUGAUAAAUGUUAAGGUAGCGAUGCUUAUCUGUCUCAUAUCUGCUGGCGUUCAAACAUUGAAAGAAAUCGGUCAGUUAUUCGUUUACAAAUUCAAUUAUUUUAUGGACAAAGUCAACUAUUUGGAAUGUGUUCUCUACGUAUCAACAUUCAUCUUUGCUGUACCAAGUAACGACAGUAUGUCUGUAAAGACAAGUUUUCAAUGGAUGGCCUGUUCUGUAGCGUUAUUCUGUGCUUGGAUAAAUCUUAUUAUGUAUCUAAGAAGGUUUGCCUCCUACGGUAUAAUUAUUCUCAUGAUG